This 212-nucleotide long non-coding RNA is filed under the name Capsicum annuum. Its description in RNAcentral is "long non-coding RNA (CANN_LNC001545)". The record is from RNAcentral. Lineage: Eukaryota; Viridiplantae; Streptophyta; Magnoliopsida; Solanales; Solanaceae.
AGGUGCAUGGCUAGACUCUCCGUCUAUCAGGCCUUCCAUCCUAUCCACUAUCUUAUCAAUCUGAGCAUCUUGAUUUUGAACAUAUUUGAUCAGGCUCUCAAUUGCCUUUAUCAGAUUUGUAAGUUGCUCCUCCAAAGAUGAGACAUCAGUUACCAUUGCUUGCAUGAUCACUGGAGACGUUGGAGAGUAACACAGAUUAUCUCAUAAGUUGA